GACGGAGGGGGCAAGCGUUGUCCGGACUCACUGGGCGUAAAGGGUGCGCAGGCGGUGCCGUGCGUCGGCGCUGAAAGCGCCCGGCUUAACCGGGCGAGGUGCGGCGAUACGACGGCACUGGAGGCAGGUAGAGGUUGGCGAAAUUCCGGGUGUAGUGGUGAAAUGCGUAGAGAUCCGGAGGAACGUCGGUGGCGUAAGCGGCCAACUGGGCCUGACCUGACGCUGAGGCACGAAAGCGUGGGGAGCGAACCGGAUUAGAUACCCGGGUAGUCCACGCCGUAAACGAUGUCGGCUCGGUGUGUGAUGCUAUUACGGUGUCGCGUGCCCAAGCUCACGCGGUAAGCCGACCGCCUGGGGACUACGGCCGCAAGGCUAAAACUCAAAGGAAUUGACGGGGGCCCGCACAAGCAGCGGAGCGUGUGGUUUAAUUCGACGCAACGCGAAGAACCUUACCCAGAUUUGACAUGCGACUGCAAGCGCACGGAAACGUGUGACCUUCGAGGGUGUCGCACAGGUGCUGCAUGGCUGUCGUCAGCUCGUGUCGUGAGAUGUUGGGUUAAGUCCCGCAACGAGCGCAACCCUCGCCGUCAGUUAUCAGUGUCUGGCGGGACUGCCGGCUGUAUGGUCGGAGGAAGGCGGGGAUGACGUCAAGUCCGCAUGGCCCGGACGUCUGGGGCGACACACACGCUACAAUGACCAGCACAGCACGCUGCAAACCCGCAAGGGGGAGCUAAUCGCCAAAGCUGGUCUCAGUGCAGAUCGGGGGCUGCAACUCGGCCCCGGAAGGCGGAGUUGCUAGUAACCGCGUAUCAAAACGGGGGCGCGGUGAAUACGUACCCGGGCC
This 844-nucleotide ribosomal RNA is filed under the name uncultured Chloroflexota bacterium. RNAcentral describes it as "bacterial SSU rRNA". It matches the Rfam family "Bacterial small subunit ribosomal RNA", at positions 524 to 1380 of the family's 1533-position model. Lineage: Bacteria; Bacillati; Chloroflexota. The record is from RNAcentral.